This 29-nucleotide small RNA is filed under the name Bombyx mori (domestic silkworm). Its description in RNAcentral is "ovarian small RNA-24425". The record is from RNAcentral. Lineage: Eukaryota; Metazoa; Arthropoda; Insecta; Lepidoptera; Bombycidae.
UCAAACUCCGGUCGAUACUGACUCCCAGG